RNAcentral lists this ribosomal RNA (493 nucleotides) under uncultured bacterium. RNAcentral describes it as "partial 16S ribosomal RNA". It matches the Rfam family "Bacterial small subunit ribosomal RNA", at positions 28 to 506 of the family's 1533-position model. The record is from RNAcentral.
GACGAACGCUGGCGGCGUGCUUAACACAUGCAAGUCGGACGGUGAAGCGCCUUCCUUUUUGGUGGGUGUGGAUGAGUGGCGAACGGGUGAGUAACACGUGAGUAACCUGCCCCCUUCUUCUGGAUAACCGCAUGAAAGUGUGGCUAAUACGGGAUAUUCUGGGUCUGUCGCAUGAUGGGUCUGGGAAAGAUAUUGUUUCGGUGGGGGAUGGGCUCGCGGCCUAUCAGCUUGUUGGUGGGGUGAUGGCCUACCAAGGCGGUGACGGGUAGCCGGCCUGAGAGGGUGGACGGUCACACUGGGACUGAGACACGGCCCAGACUCCUACGGGAGGCAGCAGUGGGGAAUAUUGCACAAUGGGCGCAAGCCUGAUGCAGCGACGCCGCGUGAGGGAUGGAGGCCUUCGGGUUGUGAACCUCUUUCGCCAGUGAAGCAGGCCUGCCUCGUUUGUGGGUGGGUUGACGGUAGCUGGAUAAGAAGCGCCGGCUAACUACGU